AAGAGACGUUGCCCUUCGGGGUAUACCUCCCACCCUUUGUUUAUUAUACCUUUGUUGCUUUGGCGGGCCCGUCCUCGGACCACCGGCUUCUGCUGGUCAGUGCCCGCCAGAGGACCUAAAACUCUGUUUGUUAAUAUUGUCUGAGUACUAUAUAAUAGUU
Molecule: unclassified non-coding RNA, 160 nt
Filed under: soil metagenome
Description: partial internal transcribed spacer 1
Source: RNAcentral